This 359-nucleotide ribosomal RNA is filed under the name uncultured bacterium. RNAcentral's name for it is "bacterial SSU rRNA". It matches the Rfam family "Bacterial small subunit ribosomal RNA", at positions 29 to 416 of the family's 1533-position model. The record is from RNAcentral.
AACGAACGCUGGCGGCAGGCCUAACACAUGCAAGUCGAACGCCCCGCAAGGGGAGUGGCGCACGGGUGAGUAACGCGUGGGAAUAUACCCAGCAGUACGGAACAACCCCGGGAAACCGGGGCUAAUACCGUAUACGUCCUCAGGGAGAAAGAUUUAUCGCUGUUGGAUUAGCCCGCGUCGGAUUAGCUAGUUGGUGAGGUAAUGGCUCACCAAGGCGACGAUCCGUAGCUGGUCUGAGAGGAUGACCAGCCACACUGGGACUGAGACACGGCCCAGACUCCUACGGGAGGCAGCAGUGGGGAAUAUUGGACAAUGGGCGGCAAGCCUGAUCCAGCCAUGCCGCGUGAGUGAUGAAGGCC